CAACAAUAACAUUACAGUCAAAGAUCCAAACCUAAAUGAAAAAUCAAAAUACAAAAACCAAAAACACACAUAAACUCAUACUACAAAUAUACACAUAUAGAUACCGUAUUUGCGAAGGCGGCCGAAGAUGGUCUUUUUGUGGAUGGCGGCGAGAGGGUUCUUCUUUGGGUCGACAAGCCACCGAGAUAGCGAUGAUGCCAUUGGUUUCACUCCCUCUGCUAUCUAUUUGGUCAAGUUUUUGGGGGUGUAUACCAACAGUUGACAGUCAAGUGUCGCUGAAUGGAAAUCGCUUACAUUUUACGGAUUUGCAUAUUCAAAUUAGAUCUGAUCAAAUGCGUGUUUAGUUAAAAUAAGAGCUAGAGAAAUGCGAGUUUAGUUGUAAAA
RNAcentral lists this long non-coding RNA (384 nucleotides) under Olea europaea subsp. europaea. The record is from RNAcentral. Lineage: Eukaryota; Viridiplantae; Streptophyta; Magnoliopsida; Lamiales; Oleaceae.